GACGAACACUGGCGGCGUGCUUAACACAUGCAAGUCGAACGGAAAGGCCCUGCUUUUGUGGGGUGCUCGAGUGGCGAACGGGUGAGUAACACGUGAGUAACCUGCCCUUGACUUUGGGAUAACUUCAGGAAACUGGGGCUAAUACCGGAUAGGAGCUCCUGCUGCAUGGUGGGGGUUGGAAAGUUUCGGCGGUUGGGGAUGGACUCGCGGCUUAUCAGCUUGUUGGUGGGGUAGUGGCUUACCAAGGCUUUGACGGGUAGCCGGCCUGAGAGGGUGACCGGCCACAUUGGGACUGAGAUACGGCCCAGACUCCUACGGGAGGCAGCAGUGGGGAAUAUUGCACAAUGGGCGGAAGCCUGAUGCAGCAACGCCGCGUGCGGGAUGACGGCCUUCGGGUUGUAAACCGCUUCCGCCUGUGACGAAGCGUGAGUGACGGUAAUGGGUAAAGAAGCACCGGCUAACUACGUG
This 468-nucleotide ribosomal RNA is filed under the name uncultured bacterium. RNAcentral describes it as "partial 16S ribosomal RNA". It matches the Rfam family "Bacterial small subunit ribosomal RNA", at positions 28 to 507 of the family's 1533-position model. The record is from RNAcentral.